GACGAACGCUGGCGGCGUGCUUAACACAUGCAAGUCGAACGGAAAGGCCCUGCUUUUGUGGGGUGCUCGAGUGGCGAACGGGUGAGUAACACGUGAGUAACCUGCCCUUGACUUUGGGAUAACUUCAGGAAACUGGGGCUAAUACCGGAUAGGAGCUCCUGCUGCAUGGUGGGGGUUGGAAAGUUUCGGCGGUUGGGGAUGGACUCGCGGCUUAUCAGCUUGUUGGUGGGGUAGUGGCUUACCAAGGCUUUGACGGGUAGCCGGCCUGGGAGGGUGACCGGCCACAAUGGGACUGAGAUACGGCCCAGACUCCUACGGGAGACAGCAGUGGGGAAUAUUGCACAAUGGGCGGAAGCCUGAUGCAGCAACGCCGCGGGCGUGAUGACGGCCUUCGGGUUGUAAACCGCUUUCGCCUGUGACGAAGCGUGAGUGACGGUAAUGGGUAAAGAAGCACCGGCUAACUACGUG
This 468-nucleotide ribosomal RNA is filed under the name uncultured bacterium. RNAcentral describes it as "partial 16S ribosomal RNA". It matches the Rfam family "Bacterial small subunit ribosomal RNA", at positions 28 to 507 of the family's 1533-position model. The record is from RNAcentral.